UGGCCUCAGAUCAGGGAGGAUCACC
Molecule: ribosomal RNA, 25 nt
Filed under: Aricia artaxerxes (northern brown argus)
Lineage: Eukaryota; Metazoa; Arthropoda; Insecta; Lepidoptera; Lycaenidae
Also listed under: 26 other names
Description: partial 28S ribosomal RNA
Source: RNAcentral